UACAGGUGCAGCAUACCCCCUUUGGCCAUUUUUAGCAGAAUUCCAGAUAAGAUGUGUAAUGUUCUGUGGUUUGGACUGAUACAUGUGGUUGUAAGCAGGCUGGAUGCUCUGCGUAUGACUCUGAACAAGCUCGGGAGGAUGAGAGAUUACAUGCAGAACACUCUCCUACAAUUCACUUAAAAAUGAGCAAAAUGGAUAUGCCAUUAUGUACCCUGUGCCCACAGAGAGCCGACACAAGGGACACAUCACCCCUGUACAACACUAGCAGUGACACUUGCA
Molecule: long non-coding RNA, 279 nt
Organism: Bufo bufo (common toad)
Lineage: Eukaryota; Metazoa; Chordata; Amphibia; Anura; Bufonidae
Exons: 3
Source: RefSeq, a predicted model, not a curated record